UGAGAUUCAUUUUCCCUCCCAUAUAAAAUACACAUUACACCCAAACCCUAACCUAAUUUUGAAGCUUCAUCUGCCGACCCUCCCUUUCCCUCAAGACCAAGCUCGCAUCUCUCUUUCUCAAAAAAUACGCCCAGCACCUCACCGUCCAGCAGCUGCCUGGACUCAGCCGCAUCAAGAGACGAGAAAUAAAAGUACUUGAUCAUCUCUCUCAAACACACACGCACAUAGAUAGAGAAACGGAGAGAGGACAGAAAAUUGAGAGGAGAAAAGUUUAUGAAAAAUUAUGGUUUAGUUUUAGUGUUCAUCCUUCACUGAUUUUUAUUGGAAAAGAGAAGUACAAAAAAAAGAAGAAAAAGAACGGACCCUCCCCUCCCAUAGACGAACCCUAGCAGCGACGCCUCACCUCUCCAUCAACUCCGACCAGACCCUCCGAUCCCAUACCCAAAAACCUUGCUGCUUACUCUCACUCUUUCACUCACGUUUUUGAGCACACAUACACACAAAAAAAGCACUUAGCAACAAACGAAAAAAAAAAGAAAAAAAAAUCGAAGUUCUGGUUUUAAAAGAGGCGAUUUAGCCUCAAGCCACUGCUCGGUUCAACUGUUUAUUGCCGGAUUUAUGCUGCUGAGCUCCAACCAGCUGUGUUCUCUUUAUUUGGUUUAAAUUUGGUCCUUGCACCAUUGGGUAUGUCCUCCCUAAACUUGGUACUUUUUCAGAUUUGAUUAAUAUGAAGGUUCAUGUUUUGCUUUACUGAUUAUCUUUUAAUUUAUGUCUUUGGAUUGAUGAAUGUGAGCAUAAUAGUUUAAUAGUUCAAUAAUAUUCUUUUCAAGUCUAUUUGAUGCUACAACAUUUGGCUAAGUUCUGUUGGUUAGGUCUUCAUUCGCUAAAUACAAAUUAUACUUCAUCUUACUCAUGUUUCAUAUUUUAGUUUAAAUAUUUACUUUUAGUUGGGUGAGCACACUGUAUCGAUUUUAGAUUCUGAAAUUUGUUCGAAAGUUUCCUUUUCUAAAGAUUUCAUGAGUUGGGUUAUAUUCUAUUGAUUUGCUUAUGGUAUAGAAAUAUGCUAAUUGUAAUUUUGUGAGGAGCAUUCACUACUCAUGUCUUCGGAUUGCCAAUUUUAAGAUGAGAAUUAAUUAAGUUAGGCCUUGCUAAUACAUUAGGUCAUAUAGCAUGGAUAAGAAGAAUUUUAGUAAAUCUUAGGCAUAAUUUUGAGUUGAAAUUUUGAUUAAGUGGGUUUAAAAUCAUUACUGUUGCUCAUAAAAACUAGAGUGCAUCACUGUCUUCCAUAAUAAUUAUUUAUUCAUAACUCACGUGUCCUCACAAUAAUCUCAAAUUAGUUUAGGAUAACAUCUUUGAACAUUCGUAAUUGCUUUGGGCGUGCUUUAAUCCAUUAUCGUGGUAAUUUUAUACGUUCGCGUGACGUAACUAUGAUCCCAAAAUAAAUCAAAGUACGCGUCUGCGCAACUUUGACCAAAAACAAUCUUAUAUAAUAAAAUGCUAUUAAUUGUGUACACGUACGCAUGACAUGAUUUUGGCAUAAUAAACAAAACGGAUUCACACACGUGAUUCGUUUCAAAGAUAAUUUUAUAUUUUAAUAAUUAAAAACGGAUAGAUAAAACAUGGGAACCAAUAAAACACAUGUUAUCCAAAAUUAAUUCAAGUCAAGUUGCAGUUAAUAAAGCGACUGUGCUAGAACCACGGAACUCGGGGACUGCCUUACACCUUCUCCUCGGUCAACAGAAUUUCUUACCCGGACUUUAUUUUCGCAGACCAAUAAUAAUAGAGUCAAACCUUCAUUUGACUAGGGAUUCAAAUAAAAGGUGACUUGGAACACCCAAAAAUCAAUUUCAAGUGGCGACUCUGUAAAUAAAAUAAUCUCUACUCAAAUUUGUCACUUUGAUUGGAAAAACGCUUUAACCCACAAUCCAUAACACACAUCAUUUGAGGGGGUAAAAAGGAGAGUGACAGCUAUGGCGACUCUGCUGGGGAAUCUCAAGAAUUCGAGCUUGUACAUUGACUUUAUUUGGCUUUAUUAAUUUUUGUAUAUAAUGUGAUUUAUUUGGGCAUAAUGUGCUAUUUGUCCGCUUUUUACCACUUUGAUAUUAUUGAAUUAUACAUAUAAAUUGUCUUCUCUUGCACCUUUCUAAGUCUUCUUGAAUUAAAAUUGGGCAUUUGCUUGACAUAACCCGCUUUCUUUGAGAUAGCCGAGGUGCUUGUCACCCGGUGAAGAAUUUUAGUUACACAUAUUUUAGGCGGGGAGCACCAUCAGCUAAGCUGAAAAGCAAUGCUACCGGUAUCAGACUCAAGAUCAAGUUUCAGAAGACUUAGAGAUAGGAACCUUGUAACUCACAGCUGAUAGGCUUGUUUAGUUUUUUUUCAUUUUAAUUAUGGUGUAAUAAGGAGUUCAGCAAGCAGCAAUAAAAGUGAAAUCACAGUUUCCCGAUAAUCUCAGCUACCACAACUCCUUGAACUACACGCGACCUGAUUCCUUAUAACCCGGGAUAUGUAGGCUGCCCAAACCAGGACUCGGUUGUACUAUUUUCUCUUAUCUCUUCCCUUUUGAAUAACGGUAUGACCAAAAAUUAGUCAUAUCGCUCAUCUUUUCUUUGUAUGAAAACUCUACGUGUUUCCAAGCAAAGAGGCGCAUGUUGUGAGCACUUAAUUUUUGAUCAUGUUUGAAUUUUUCCCACUCAUCUCACCAAUACCUCACUUCUCACUCCACUUUCCCUUGCUCCCCAAUUUUUGUCCCCCCUCCCCUCCCCCACCACUCUUUAUUCCCACUCCACUUUCUAUUGUCCCCCAUGCUUGUCCCCCAUUCACCUCCCUCUCUUACAAAAACACAUCAUCUCCACAAUCCCAGAGGAGAAGAAGAACGGAUCAUCUCUCUUUACAAAAAACCAUAGCCGCCACCCUCUCAUUCUUCACACCCUCCAAUCCGCCUACACUCCUCACACUCGCCUCUCUCAACUCACUCAUAUAGACACACUCUAACACACUUAGCCAUCAUCCUUUACACUCUAAAGAAAAACACAACAUCAGAGAGAAACAAAAUAGUAGCUAAAAUAGCUUUCAGUUUUCCCUUUGUACGUUCCAAAAAUGAAACGAGUCCCCUUUGGUGUUUAGCUUCUAUUUUUUGUCUGUUGGCUCAAGCAUUAUCUGGGUUGUUGGAGUUUUUGAUAUUUGGUGCUGCUGGGGUAUUUGAUUUGAAUUGUUCUGCUGGCUUCUCAUCGUUAUUGCUCUAGCAUUUCAACAUUUAGGUAUUUCUUCUUCUGUUGUAGCUUUUGAAUUGUUUCAUAUGAAUGAAGAAUGUAUGGUUUUUGAGUCUUUAUUUGAAAUUAUUCAACAGUCUUGAUUCAUCCUUGCUUGUCAUAUAUGAACAAUUUGAGCUAUGAUAGUAAAUAUUGAUGACUGAAGCAAGAAGUACGUAUAUAGUUGAGUUCAUACUUGUCAAGUUUUUAGUGUAGUUGCAGCAGUCCCUAUUAAGGAAAGAAUUGAUUUUACUUCAUUAAAAAUCUUGGUAAAAAUCUUCUAUGAUUGAACUUUACUUGAAUAUUUCCAUAUAUGGUUUAUUGUUUCCUCGUAAGGUUUAUGUAUACAAGGUUUGGUGGAAGUUGAUACAUUUCAUGUUUACGGGCAUAAUUAGCUUAAAUAUAUUGUGAAGUGCUUUGUAAGAAUCUACUGCCUAAAUUCUUGUCAUGGAAAUAAUUUGUUCAUAUCUUCCUGUAUGCAUGUUUAGGCUAGUUUAUUUUAUAUUAAUAGGUUACUUCUUUUUAAAUGCUUAUUAUUAGUUAUAAAAAUAUGAUUUUUGUCUUUAAUCAACCAUCAAUGGCCAGUAAGGGAUAGCAAUUGGAAUUUGAACUAGUGCUGGAAUUUAGAAAAAUAUAAAGGGACAUGUGCCUCAAAUAGUCUAUUUUGGUGGUUAUCAAUUAAAGAAGAGAGUUGGGCCAAGUAAAUUUCAGCAGCUGCCCAUUUUCUUUUAGUAACAAAGUUGGCCCAUUUUUAAUGAAUCAAAAGUGUGACCCAAUGCCAUUAUACAAAUCUCCAAAGCAGCACAUUCUUUAAAUUCAAAAAGGUUGGCCCAAGUUUAAUACCAUGGUUGUUCACAUAAUUACUUUUCGAUAGAAAAAAUAAAUUUGUUCUGUAAUUAGAAUAACUCAUUAACUUAAUCACCUUAAUAAUUAAUUUAAGUGCUAGGCAACUAGUAGGCGCCCUUUUUAACCCUUUUUUAUUCACGAACUCGCUUGCGUAGCGUGAUGUUUAACUUGCAUUAAAUUAGUUCAAUAAUCUCAUACCAUACCCAUUAGUUUUAGUUAAAUUUUUUAAUUUAAUUAAUCCUUUGCUAAAAUUGCGGAUUCGCUUGCGUAGCGCGAUAGUUGAAUUUUUAAAUAAUUUUUAAGAAUUAAUUUUCUCAAAUGUAGUAUUUUCUUUAAAGUAUUACAAAUAAUUGAUUGUCAUAAUUUCGAAUUUGCUUGCGAGGCGCAAUGAUGAUAAGUUAAUUAAUUUUGUUAUUCGAUCAGGCAUUCGCCUGCGUAGUGUGGUUAUGUCAACAUAGUUUAUCCAAAAAGCGAUUAGGUAAACUAUGAAAAUCAUAUAAAUCACAGUUUGCCCAAAAUUAAUUCAAGCCAAGUUUUAAGUCAAUAAAGCGAACGUGCUAGAACCACGAGACUCGGGGAAUGCCUUACACCUUCCAGAUCAACAAAAUUUCUUAUCCGAACUUCAUUUUCGCAGAUCAAUAAUAAAAGAGUCAACCUUCCUUUGACUAGGGAUUCAAAUAAAAGGUGACUUGGAACACCGAAAAAUCAAUUCUAAAUGGCGACUUUGUAAAUAAAAUAAUCUCUCUUCAAAUUUGUCAAUUUAAUUGGAAGAACUCUUUAACCCACAAUCAAUAACAUAUUUAUCAUUUCGGGGGGUAUAAAAUGAGUGUGAUAGCUAUGUCGACUCUGCUGGGGAAUCUCAAGAAUUCGAGCUUUUACAUUGACUUUAUUUGGCUUUAUUAAUUUUUAUAUAUAUUGUAAUUUAUUUGGGCUUAAUGUGUUAUUUGCCCGCUUUUUACCACUUUGAUAUUGUUGAAUUAUACAUAUAAAUUGUCUUCUCUCGCACCCCUCUAAGUCUUCUUGGAUUUAAAUUGGUAUUUGCUUGACAUAACUUACUUUCUUUGAGAUAGCCGAGGUGCUUGUCACCCGGUGAAGGAUUUUAGUCAUACAUAUUUUAGGCGGGGAGCACCACCAGCUAAGCCGAAAAGCAAUGCUACCGGUACACUGACGCUCCUCGGCUCGAGUUGUCCGCUCGAGUAAGCCAGUCUAGAUACCUUCUCCACAAGGAUUUAAACCUAGAAGAACAAACCUCAUGCCGGAUCCCUAGUAGGUACGUUUGUUUGCAUCACGUGCAUCUGAUUUUGGGAACUCAACAUAGGGGUUGGGUCUGCCUAGGAUAGGUGUACCCAAUUCAAAAGACAAUCCUGAUGCAUUUAAGGUGUUACUUGUGCACUUAUUUGUUUCGGCUUUGCAUGUUGACCAUCUUCUAGAAUAGGGAAAGAAAAUCAAGAAAAACCAAGAGUGAGGAAAGAGAAACUUACCCGGUUAUGAAAAAUUCAAGUAUUUGAAAAAUUCUGAAACUCUACCGAAAUUUUGAAAAAAAAAGAAGAAGAGUCAUUUAAAAAA
Molecule: long non-coding RNA, 5660 nt
Filed under: Nicotiana tabacum (common tobacco)
Lineage: Eukaryota; Viridiplantae; Streptophyta; Magnoliopsida; Solanales; Solanaceae
Description: long non-coding RNA (NTAB_LNC014454)
Source: RNAcentral